GACGAACGCUGGCGGCGUGCUUAACACAUGCAAGUCGAACGGAAAGGCCCCUUUUGGGGUACUCGAGUGGCGAACGGGUGAGUAACACGUGAGUAACCUGCCCUUGACUUCGGGAUAACUUCAGGAAACUGGGGCUAAUACCGGAUAGGAAUCCUUGCUGCAUGGUGGGGGUUGGAAAGCUUCGGCGGUUUUGGAUGGACUCGCGGCUUAUCAGCUUGUUGGUGGGGUAGUGGCUUACCAAGGCUUUGACGGGUAGCCGGCCUGAGAGGGCGACCGGCCACAUUGGGACUGAGAUACGGCCCAGACUCCUACGGGAGGCAGCAGUGGGGAAUAUUGCACAAUGGGCGGAAGCCUGAUGCAGCAACGCCGCGGGCGGGAUGACGGCCUUCGGGUUGUAAACCGCUUUCAGCAGGGGCGAAGCUUGUGGUGACGGUACCUGCAGAAGAAGCACCGGCUAACUACGUG
Molecule: ribosomal RNA, 465 nt
Filed under: uncultured bacterium
Lineage: Bacteria
Description: partial 16S ribosomal RNA
Rfam family: Bacterial small subunit ribosomal RNA
Source: RNAcentral